This 480-nucleotide ribosomal RNA is filed under the name uncultured bacterium. RNAcentral describes it as "bacterial SSU rRNA". It matches the Rfam family "Bacterial small subunit ribosomal RNA", at positions 335 to 800 of the family's 1533-position model. The record is from RNAcentral.
ACUCCUACGGGAGGCAGCAGUGGGGAAUAUUGCACAAUGGGCGCAAGCCUGAUGCAGCCAUGCCGCGUGUAUGAAGAAGGCCUUCGGGUUGUAAAGUACUUUUCAGCAGUGAGGAAGGUGGGUAUGUUAAUAGCAUAUUCAUUUGACGUUAGCUGCAGAAGAAGCACCGGCUAACUCCGUGCCAGCAGCCGCGGUAAUACGGAGGGUGCGAGCGUUAAUCGGAAUUACUGGGCGUAAAGCGCAUGCAGGUGGUUUGUUAAGUCAGAUGUGAAAAGCCCCGGGGCUCAACCUCGGAAUUGCAUUUGAAACUGGCAAACUAGAGUACUGUAGAGGGGGGUAGAAUUUCAGGUGUAGCGGUGAAAUGCGUAGAGAUCUGAAGGAAUACCGGUGGCGAAGGCGGCCCCCUGGACAGAUACUGACACUCAGAUGCGAAAAGCGUGGGGAAGCAAAACAGGAUUAGAUACCCCCGGUAGGCUCUGC